RNAcentral lists this ribosomal RNA (301 nucleotides) under uncultured bacterium. RNAcentral describes it as "partial 16S ribosomal RNA". It matches the Rfam family "Bacterial small subunit ribosomal RNA", at positions 509 to 807 of the family's 1533-position model. The record is from RNAcentral.
CAGCAGCCACGGGAAUACGGAGGGGGCUAGCGUUGUUCGGAAUUACUGGGCGUAAAGCGCACGUAGGCGGCUUGGUAAGUUAGAGGUGAAAGCCCGGAGCUCAACUCCGGAAUUGCCUUUAAGACUGCCGAGCUAGCAGGUGAGAGAGGUAAGUGGAAUUCCGAGUGUAGAGGUGAAAUUCGUAGAUAUUCGGAAGAACACCAGUGGCGAAGGCGGCUUACUGGCUCAUACUGGACGCUGAGGUGCGAAAGCGUGGGGAGCAAACAGGAUUAGAUACCCGUGUAGUCCCUGUCUCUUAUAC